GGGGAUUUAGCUCAGUGGUAGAGCGCUUGCCUAGCAAGCGCAAGGCCCUGGGUUCGGUCCCCAGCUCUCCG
RNAcentral lists this transfer RNA (71 nucleotides) under Rattus norvegicus (Norway rat). It matches the Rfam family "tRNA". Rfam says of the family: Transfer RNA (tRNA) molecules are approximately 80 nucleotides in length. Lineage: Eukaryota; Metazoa; Chordata; Mammalia; Rodentia; Muridae. The record is from Rfam by way of RNAcentral.